This 85-nucleotide transfer RNA is filed under the name Felis catus (domestic cat). It matches the Rfam family "tRNA". From Rfam's summary of the family: Transfer RNA (tRNA) molecules are approximately 80 nucleotides in length. Their secondary structure includes four short double-helical elements and three loops (D, anti-codon, and T loops). Further hydrogen bonds mediate the characteristic L-shaped molecular structure. tRNAs have two regions of fundamental functional importance: the anti-codon, which is responsible for specific mRNA codon recognition, and the 3' end, to which the tRNAs corresponding amino acid is attached (by aminoacyl-tRNA synthetases). tRNAs cope with the degeneracy of the genetic code in two manners: having more than one tRNA (with a specific anti-codon) for a particular amino acid; and 'wobble' base-pairing, i.e. permitting non-standard base-pairing at the 3rd anti-codon position. The record is from Rfam by way of RNAcentral. Lineage: Eukaryota; Metazoa; Chordata; Mammalia; Carnivora; Felidae.
GCCUGGGUGGCUCAGUGGGCUGAGCAACUGACUUCGGCUCAGGUCACGAUCUCACAGCUCAUGGGUUCAAGCCCCAUAUUGGGCU